CAGCUGCUUGAAGUGCGAAGUCUGAUGCAGCCCGCCGCGUGAGUGAUGAAGGCCUUCGGGUUGUAAAGCUCUUUUACUUGGGAAGAAAAUAUCUGUACCUAUCUGAGGUGGACCGGACCGUUUCAUUCCAGCCCCCCCGCCACUAUUAUAUG
This 152-nucleotide ribosomal RNA is filed under the name uncultured bacterium. RNAcentral's name for it is "partial 16S ribosomal RNA". The record is from RNAcentral.